This is a long non-coding RNA of Drosophila montana, 481 nucleotides long. RefSeq lists it as uncharacterized. The record is from RefSeq and is a predicted model, not a curated record. NCBI's taxonomy places the organism in Eukaryota, Metazoa, Arthropoda, Insecta, Diptera, Drosophilidae. The transcript is spliced from 2 exons.
CAGUCAGUCGUUCCGGCUUGGCUACGUUUGUCUUUGAAAAUAUGCAAAUUUAAAAAUGUUGCAAUUUAGACUGCAUACCCUUAGACAGAUUUCAUAAUACACGUGCUUCUCCAGCAUUGGGAACGAAGUCAGAGUUAAGUGCUGGAAAGCACGUUAAUAAAAUCGUCAUGAUGGAGCGUUCGAACAGCUGGAUAUAUUUGGGCAGGCCAGGACCUAGACCCGAGAGGUCAAACCUGGGUCGCAACCUGUGACACGCAUACACAAUGAGAGAGAUAGUCAGAAAGUGUGAGUAAUGGACAGGGAGAUACGGACACAGAUACACAUUUAAAGGAGAAAUUGAAACGGAUUCUGGAUUCUAUGUGAUGCCAUCGAAAAUCUGUGGAAGUCGUUUUGCAGCCGGCUAGGAAGAUGGCCAUAAAUUACCGGCGACUAUUCAGUAUCGGUCAAUAAUAGGCGACAAUAAAAAUUUAUUACAGUUUGA